RNAcentral lists this ribosomal RNA (494 nucleotides) under uncultured bacterium. Its description in RNAcentral is "partial 16S ribosomal RNA". It matches the Rfam family "Bacterial small subunit ribosomal RNA", at positions 28 to 507 of the family's 1533-position model. The record is from RNAcentral.
GACGAACGCUGGCGGCGUGCUUAACACAUGCAAGUCGAACGGAAAGGCCUGUCCUUCCUUGUGUUGGACGGGUACUCGAGUGGCGAACGGGUGAGUAACACGUGAGUGAUCUGCCCCCAACUUGGGUAUAAGCCUGGGAAACUGGGUCUAAUUCCCGAUAGGACUGCAGGGUGGUGCCUGUGGUGGAAAACGAUUUUCUAGUGGUUGGGGAUGAGCUCGCGGCUUAUCAGCUUGUUGGUGGGGUAAUGGCCUACCAAGGCGGCGACGGGUAGCCGGCCUGGGAGGGUGGACGGCCACAUUGGGACUGAGAUACGGCCCAGACUCCUACGGGAGGCAGCAGUGGGGAAUAUUGCACAAUGGGCGGAAGCCUGAUGCAGCGACGCCGCGUGGGGGAUGACGGCCUUCGGGUUGUAAACUCCUUUCGACCGCGAGGAAGCCGCCUGGUUGGAAGGGUGGUGACGGUAGUGGUAGAAGAAGCACCGGCUAACUACGUG